AGCUUUAUGCAAUGGUCGUUUCUAGCCUCUGAGGUUCAGCUGAGGCAUGGUUAUUGCUAUUUGAAAACUUUUCCCAAUAUCCCAUCUUGAGAGCUUGAAUUACAGCUGUAAUGGGUAAUUUCUGGCAGCCUUUGUAGAAG
Molecule: small nuclear RNA, 140 nt
Organism: Gopherus agassizii (Agassiz's desert tortoise)
Lineage: Eukaryota; Metazoa; Chordata; Testudines; Testudinidae
Gene: U4
Rfam family: U4 spliceosomal RNA
About the family: U4 small nuclear RNA (U4 snRNA) is a component of the major U2-dependent spliceosome. The structure of U4 snRNA from yeast and human has been reported. U4 snRNA presents a k-turn RNA motif in the 5p-SL related to recognition of Snu13 protein.
Source: Ensembl